AAUGAAUUGCUGUAAAAAUUACAGCCAUAUUUUACAGCCGCUGGCUGUUUUCUAAUAAUACAGCAUUUUGCUGUAAACUGCAAUGCAUUCUGGGGCCGCGUGGCGGUUUGAUUCAAAAUACAGAAUAUUGCUGUAAAUUUCAAAUCGACACAGAGGCAUUGUGAUCUUCAACGGUCGUGUCGUCGACUUUCGGAUAGCGGCAAGAGGAGUGAUUCUCAACUGGAGACACUUUGACAAGAGGACACUGGAAGGCCAAGUUGUGUGUGAGGAGAGCAUUCAGCCCAGCUUCCUGUCUGGCCUUGCUACUGUUCACUGCAUAUUAUUACAUAUUCAAUCAGGAGGAGCCAGCCUGCACCUUGGAGUUCAUUUAAAGAGAGGAACAAAGAAGAAAAUUGCCAUCUAAAAGGACAGGGCAAAUGGUACAGAAGAAACAGGUUGCAGUGAACCCACAUGUUGCCACUCUUCCCUGCAAAGUGGUGUAUUCAGUGGAAUUUCUGAAAUCCACUCUUUGCAUCCUGUGAUGGAACAGCAUCCGGAGCUGAAUUAUUCUCCAUUUUUGAUCAUACGUGUUUUGGACUCACUUGGGGCCUUGUUGUUUGGACAUGUUUGUCUGGGAACGAAGAGGUGACAAUUCAUUCAUGUC
Molecule: non-coding RNA, 643 nt
Organism: Pimephales promelas (fathead minnow)
Lineage: Eukaryota; Metazoa; Chordata; Actinopteri; Cypriniformes; Leuciscidae
Source: RefSeq, a predicted model, not a curated record